Molecule: ribosomal RNA, 253 nt
Filed under: uncultured bacterium
Lineage: Bacteria
Description: partial 16S ribosomal RNA
Rfam family: Bacterial small subunit ribosomal RNA
Source: RNAcentral
UACGGGGGGAGCAAGCGUUGUUCGGAUUUACUGGGCGUAAAGGGCGCGUAGGCGGCGUGACAAGUCACUUGUGAAAUCUCCGGGCUUAACCCGGAGCGGCCAAGUGAUACUGUCGUGCUAGAGUGCGGAAGGGGCUACUGGAAUUCUCGGUGUAGCGGUGAAAUGCGUAGAUAUCGAGAGGAACACCGGUGGCGAAGGCGGGUCUCUGGGCCGAUACUGACGCUGAGGAGCGAAAGCGUGGGGAGCGAACAGG